RNAcentral lists this small RNA (26 nucleotides) under Bombyx mori (domestic silkworm). RNAcentral's name for it is "ovarian small RNA-23239". Lineage: Eukaryota; Metazoa; Arthropoda; Insecta; Lepidoptera; Bombycidae. The record is from RNAcentral.
UAGUUUUGUAAAAUGCCCACCAACGA